Molecule: long non-coding RNA, 1086 nt
Filed under: Phasianus colchicus (ring-necked pheasant)
Lineage: Eukaryota; Metazoa; Chordata; Aves; Galliformes; Phasianidae
Description: lncRNA (ENSPCLG00000004183.1)
Source: RNAcentral
UGAGCAGAUGUUCGCAGAGGUCAUGUUGUCUUUUUAUUCCAGUGUUACCUUUGUUCCUUGAGCUGUCGGAUGACCUUGUCCCAGUUAAGCAUGAAUCCUUGAGGUGUACGAGCUCAGCACUGAACACAGAGCUCUGCAAUGACAGCAGUGCCCCUCUGUGACUUGAGUGCAGCUCAGUGGUAUUUAUAUCCAGUACAUGAUUUCUUCCUAGGACCCAUCUAGAUCCAACAGCCUUUUUCUCGCACCUCACAGUCUGUCACAGGCCAAGGAUUAGGAUGAUGGUGGAAACUGAACUUUCCUCUUGGCCAGAUCCCACCAACAGCAGCAACUUUGGAAACCCAGGACUACAGUGUUGGAAAAGAGGGAUUAACUCCUCUCAGUUAACAUCUAAGAAAUCAUCAGAUAAGGAGUUUCAUAUCCUCUGUAUGGCUCAUCUUCAGGUUGUAGCUCAUCACUAGCAUGGAUCUCAACCAAAGUGCAGCUUUGGAAGAAUGAGUUGACACAGACAAGGUAACAUUCAAAAACAACAGCUAAAUUAUACUGCUGCUGGAGAAAUGUGAGCCAAAAAGAAUUCGUUUUGAUAUUCUGAUCAUAAGCUGUGAAUGCAGAGUUUGCUGGUAAGAAAAAUCUAAAAGCAAAAAGCUGAAUUUAUACUGUUUAAGGAUAUAUGAUGCCAGUGAGAGAUGAGCAGUGCAUUUGUAAGGUAGGACUUCUGGUAAAAUGUAAACUUUAUAAUCUGUUUGAAUGCAUACAGAUAGGACAUUUUUGCUCUCUUUUUAAAAAAAUUGCUGAUAGCUCUUUAAUUUUAUUGUGUAUGUGAGAUGCUUGUACACGUGUCUGAUAGAAAUGUCAGGAUCAAAGCAGCUCAUGACAUGUCACUAUAAUUUGAACUGGAGAUAAUAAGGGUUAUGCUCACUUACUGUAGAGAUGCAUUUGGCCUGGUGUUUUUGUAAUCAUUGUAUAGACAAGUCUAAAGAGUGAAAUUAUCCUAAUUGCUUUCUUUAUUGUUUGAUUUACUAGUGUUCUAAAUGAGAGAAUAGGUUAAGUCUUCUUCCUUCCCCCACCCAAGAUCUUCUUAACGUCUGC